RNAcentral lists this unclassified non-coding RNA (329 nucleotides) under soil metagenome. RNAcentral's name for it is "partial contains 5.8S ribosomal RNA, internal transcribed spacer 2, and large subunit ribosomal RNA". The stretch from base 2 to 120 matches the Rfam family "5.8S ribosomal RNA", at positions 36 to 154 of the family's 154-position model. The record is from RNAcentral.
UAUGAAGAACGUAGCGAAAUGCGAUAAGUAAUGUGAAUUGCAGAAUUCAGUGAAUCAUCGAAUCUUUGAACGCACAUUGCGCCCCUUGGUAUUCCGAGGGGCAUGCCUGUUCGAGCGUCAUUAUAACCCCUCAAGCUCAGCUUGGUGUUGGGGCCUGCUGCACUGGCAGCCCUUAAAAUCAGUGGCGGCGCCAUCUGGCUCUAAGCGUAGUAAUUCUUCUCGCUAUGGAGUCCUGGUGGAUGCUUGCCAUCAACCCCCAAUUUUUCUAUGGUUGACCUCGGAUCAGGUAGGGAUACCCGCUGAACUUAAGCAUAUCAAUAAGCGGAGGA